RNAcentral lists this ribosomal RNA (835 nucleotides) under Klebsiella michiganensis. RNAcentral's name for it is "bacterial SSU rRNA". It matches the Rfam family "Bacterial small subunit ribosomal RNA", at positions 62 to 885 of the family's 1533-position model. Lineage: Bacteria; Pseudomonadati; Pseudomonadota; Gammaproteobacteria; Enterobacterales; Enterobacteriaceae. The record is from RNAcentral.
UCGGAACGGUAGCACAGAGAGCUUGCUCUCGGGUGACGAGUGGCGGACGGGUGAUUAUUGUCUGGGAAACUGCCUGAUGGAGGGGGAUAACUACUGGAAACGGUAGCUAAUACCGCAUAACGUCGCAAGACCAAAGAGGGGGACCUUCGGGCCUCUUGCCAUCAGAUGUGCCCAGAUGGGAUUAGCUAGUAGGUGGGGUAACGGCUCACCUAGGCUACGAUCCCUAGCUGGUCUGAGAGGAUGACCAGCCACACUGGAACUGAGACACGGUCCAGACUCCUACGGGAGGCAGCAGUGGGGAAUAUUGCACAAUGGGCGCAAGCCUGAUGCAGCCAUGCCGCGUGUAUGAAGAAGGCCUUCGGGUUGUAAAGUACUUUCAGCGGGGAGGAAGGAGAUGAGGUUAAUAACCUUGUCGAUUGACGUUACCCGCAAAAGAAGCACCGGCUAACUCCGUGCCAGCAGCCGCGGUAAUACGGAGGGUGCAAGCGUUAAUCGGAAUUACUGGGCGUAAAGCGCACGCAGGCGGGCUGUCAAGUCGGAUGUGAAAUCCCCGGGCUCAACCUGGGAACUGCAUUCGAAACUGGCAGGCUGGAGUCUUGUAGAGGGGGGUAGAAUUCCAGGUGUAGCGGUGAAAUGCGUAGAGAUCUGGAGGAAUACCGGUGGCGAAGGCGGCCCCCUGGACAAAGACUGACGCUCACGUGCGAAAGCGUGGGGGAGCAAACAGGAUUAGAUACCCUGGUAGUCCACGCUGUAAACGAUGUCGACUUGGAGGUUGUUCCCUUGAGGAGUGGCUUCCGGAGCUAACGCGUUAAGUCGACCGCCUGGGGGAGUACGG